UACGUAGGUGGCAAGCGUUAUCCGGAAUUAUUGGGCGUAAAGCGCGCGUAGGCGGUUUUUUAAGUCUGAUGUGAAAGCCCACGGCUCAACCGUGGAGGGUCAUUGGAAACUGGAAAACUUGAGUGCAGAAGAGGAAAGUGGAAUUCCAUGUGUAGCGGUGAAAUGCGCAGAGAUAAUGGAGGAACACCAGUGGCGAAGGCGACUUUCUGGUCUGUAACUGACGCUGAUGUGCGAAAGCGUGGGGAUCAAACAGG
Molecule: ribosomal RNA, 254 nt
Filed under: uncultured bacterium
Lineage: Bacteria
Description: partial 16S ribosomal RNA
Rfam family: Bacterial small subunit ribosomal RNA
Source: RNAcentral